This 77-nucleotide transfer RNA is filed under the name Philodromus sp. RNAcentral describes it as "tRNA-Arg". The record is from RNAcentral. Lineage: Eukaryota; Metazoa; Arthropoda; Arachnida; Araneae; Philodromidae.
UAUAUAAAGAGCUUUAAAGCAACUUAAUUUCGACUUAAGUGUUGGGUAAAAUUGGUGAAUAAUCACAUCAUUAUUUC